AAUCAAGUGCCUUAAGGGUGUUCGGUGGAUGCCUUGGCGCUGAGAGGCGAUGAAGGACGUGCUACGCUGCGAUAAGCUGUGGGGAGCUGCGAAGAAGCUUUGAUCCGCGGAUUUCCGAAUGGGGAAACCCACCUUCGAUAGCCGGAACUCCAAGACCUUGGUUUUGGGGUUCGAUUGGGAGACCGAGAGAAUUCAGGGCCGUGAGGUCUUGGAUUUCCGGUUAUCAAGAGAAGGUAUGAGAUCUCUGAAUACAUAGGAGGUUUCAAGCAAACCCAGGGAACUGAAACAUCUAAGUACCUGGAGGAAAGGACAUCAACCGAGACUCCGCUAGUAGUGGCGAGCGAACGCGGACCAGGCCAGUCAUGAAUGUAAGCCAACCAGAACCUGUCAGGAAAGCAGGGCCUCAGAGGGUGAUAGCCCCGUAUGGGUAAUGCGAACAUUCAUGCUCGAGUACGGCGG
This is a ribosomal RNA of 459 nucleotides. It matches the Rfam family "Bacterial large subunit ribosomal RNA", at positions 1 to 420 of the family's 2925-position model.